RNAcentral lists this transfer RNA (107 nucleotides) under Thermoplasmata archaeon. RNAcentral describes it as "tRNA-Met". Lineage: Archaea; Methanobacteriati; Thermoplasmatota; Thermoplasmata. The record is from RNAcentral.
AGCGGGGUGGGGUAGCCAGGAUAUCCCGUCGGGCUCAUAACCCGGAGAUCGAUGGUUCAAACGGCUCCGAGGACGCGCCUCGGUCCCUGAGAUUCCAUCCCCCGCUA